CUGGUUCUCGGCGUGGAUCUCUGGUUUCUCUGCAUGGUGGUGAUGCCCCUGCAGAGGGUGAACUCAUCCAGGCUGCUGCAUUGGUUAGCCAAUCAGCUCUUUAUUCCAAGGAGCUUGAGAAUCAGCAUCCAAUUGGACCAGCUAUGGUUCACCCAUCCGAAACUAUUCCUAAAGGGCCUAGUUGGGGGGAUCUCUUUGAGCCUGGAGUUAAGCAUGCAUUGGCUGUUGGGGUUGGAAU
This 238-nucleotide unclassified non-coding RNA is filed under the name Hevea brasiliensis (rubber tree). Lineage: Eukaryota; Viridiplantae; Streptophyta; Magnoliopsida; Malpighiales; Euphorbiaceae. The record is from RNAcentral.